Molecule: ribosomal RNA, 433 nt
Filed under: uncultured bacterium
Lineage: Bacteria
Description: partial 16S ribosomal RNA
Rfam family: Bacterial small subunit ribosomal RNA
Source: RNAcentral
AACGAACGCUGGCGGCAUGCCUAACACAUGCAAGUCGAACGAGACCUUCGGGUCUAGUGGCGCACGGGUGCGUAACGCGUGGGAAUCUGCCCUUGGGUUCGGAAUAACAGUGAGAAAUUACUGCUAAUACCGGAUGAUGUCUUCGGACCAAAGAUUUAUCGCCCAGGGAUGAGCCCGCGUAGGAUUAGCCAGUUGGUGGGGUAAUGGCCUACCAAGGCGACGAUCCUUAGCUGGUAUGAGAGGAUGAUCAGCCACACUGGGACUGGGACCCGGCCCAGACUCCUACGGGAGGCAGCAGUGGGGAAUAUUGGACAAUGGGCGCAAGCAUGAUCCAGCAAUGCCGGGUGAGUGAUGAAGGCCUUAGGGUUGUAAAGCUCUUUUACCCGGGAUGAUAAUGACAGUACCGGGAGAAUAAGCUCCGGCUAACUCCGUG